Molecule: ribosomal RNA, 383 nt
Filed under: uncultured eukaryote
Lineage: Eukaryota
Description: partial 18S ribosomal RNA
Rfam family: Eukaryotic small subunit ribosomal RNA
Source: RNAcentral
CAAUAGCGUAUAUUAAAGUUGUUGCAGUUAAAAAGCUCGUAGUUGGAUUUCUGGUGGGAGCGAUCGGUCUGGCGCUUAGCGCGAGUACUUGCAUCGUCUCCGGCCAUCCUUGGGGAGAGUCUGUCUGGCAUUAGGUUGUCGGGCAGAGGAUCCUCAUCGCUUACUGUGAAAAAAUUAGAGUGUUCAAAGCAGGCUUAUGCCGUUGAAUAUAUUAGCAUGGAAUAAUAAGAUAGGACUUUGGUACUAUUUUGUUGGUUUGCGCACCAAAGUAAUGAUUAAUAGGGACAGUUGGGGGUAUUCGUAUUCCGUUGUCAGAGGUGAAAUUCUUGGAUUUACGGAAGACGAACUACUGCGAAAGCAUUUACCAAGGAUGUUUUCAUUAA